Molecule: non-coding RNA, 128 nt
Organism: Picea glauca (white spruce)
Lineage: Eukaryota; Viridiplantae; Streptophyta; Pinopsida; Pinales; Pinaceae
Source: Rfam
AGCAAAAUAAGUAGCCAACGACAACUUGCCAACUCUCUGCAUAUCAUGAUAUCUUAUACAUGUUUUUCUCACAUAUGCAGAUUAUGGGUUCGUGCUGGCAAGUCAUCCUUGGCUACAUCACUUGCUGU